UGGCGGCAGGCCUAACACAUGCAAGUCGAGCGGUAGCACAGAGAGCUUGCUCUCGGGUGACGAGCGGCGGACGGGUGAGUAAUGUCUGGGAAACUGCCUGAUGGAGGGGGAUAACUACUGGAAACGGUAGCUAAUACCGCAUAACGUCGCAAGACCAAAGUGGGGGACCUUCGGGCCUCAUGCCAUCAGAUGUGCCCAGAUGGGAUUAGCUAGUAGGUGGGGUAACGGCUCACCUAGGCGACGAUCCCUAGCUGGUCUGAGAGGAUGACCAGCCACACUGGAACUGAGACACGGUCCAGACUCCUACGGGAGGCAGCAGUGGGGAAUAUUGCACAAUGGGCGCAAGCCUGAUGCAGCCAUGCCGCGUGUGUGAAGAAGGCCUUCGGGUUGUAAAGCACUUUCAGCGGGGAGGAAGGCGA
Molecule: ribosomal RNA, 419 nt
Filed under: Klebsiella quasipneumoniae subsp. quasipneumoniae
Lineage: Bacteria; Pseudomonadati; Pseudomonadota; Gammaproteobacteria; Enterobacterales; Enterobacteriaceae
Description: bacterial SSU rRNA
Rfam family: Bacterial small subunit ribosomal RNA
Source: RNAcentral